AUCCAUUCCUCUGAAUUACCAAACAACCAAUUUUGGACUCCAAUUUUUUCACGAUAAAUUUAAAAUACUCUUACUGAUUAAAUCCAUUACCCACAUCGUCGCAAUGAACAACUUCAUCAAGCUCUUGGCCAUCAUGGCAUUUGUUUUCGCAACCGUUUACGCUUCAAGUUUACAUCAGGAGGGGCACGACAUGAGUGAUUCGUCCCCAGGAUCAAACUCAGAUGCAAAGUGGCUUCCCCCAGGAAUCUGGAUUCCACUGCCAAACUUAGCCCCGACAGGAAACACGACUGGUUAAAUAAAUAUUUUCGUCUCAAGACGCCACUCUUGUCAUUAUAUAUUUACGUAGUAAUUUAUGCAAAAUCAUAAUAAAAUAUAGCAGUCUCAAUAAAAUGUUAUCAUUAAAUAGAUUAAAAUCGUCUUAUUAAUA
This is a long non-coding RNA of Folsomia candida, 427 nucleotides long. RefSeq lists it as uncharacterized. Lineage: Eukaryota; Metazoa; Arthropoda; Collembola; Entomobryomorpha; Isotomidae. The record is from RefSeq and is a predicted model, not a curated record. The transcript is spliced from 3 exons.